This 458-nucleotide ribosomal RNA is filed under the name uncultured bacterium. RNAcentral's name for it is "bacterial SSU rRNA". It matches the Rfam family "Bacterial small subunit ribosomal RNA", at positions 340 to 786 of the family's 1533-position model. The record is from RNAcentral.
UACGGAAGGCAGCAGUGGGGAAUAUUGCACAAUGGGCGAAAGCCUGAUGCAGCUAUGCCGCGUGUAUGAAGAAGGCCUUAGGGUUGUAAAGUACUUUCAUCGGGGAGGAAAAAACAAAACUAAUAAUUUUAUUUCUUGACGUUACCCGAAAAAGAAGCACCGGCUAACUCCGUGCCAGCAGCCGCGGUAAUACGGAGGGUGCUAGCGUUAAUCAGAAUUACUGGGCGUAAAGAGCACGUAGGUGGGUUUUUUAAGUCAGAUGUGAAAUCCCUGGGCUUAACCUAGGAACUGCAUUUUGAAACUGAAAUACUAGAGUAUCGUAGAGGGAGGGUAGAAUUCUAGGUGUAGCGGUGAAAUGCGUAGAUAUCUGGAGGAAUACCUGUGGCGAAAGCGGCCUCCUAAACGAAUACUGACACUGAGGUGCGAAAGCGUGGGGAGCAAACAGGGAGUUAGAUACC